CGAUCUCGGCGAGCGGAAGAGCGACGGCGAGGAGGAAGAAGGCUAGCCACGAGAGCGUGGCACGGAGGAGAGUAUGCUGGCAGAAGCCCAGGAGGCCGAGGAAUUUUUCCAGAGUGGUUAGGGAUUGGUCGAGCUCGGUUUCGGGGUGGAGCAAGAGGGAGGCCUCAGGCGACGCCAUGAAAGUACAAGCGGGUGUCUGCCAAGGUACAAGGUGGCGAUGCUAGNACGAGAGCGUGGCACGGAGGAGAGUAUGCUGGCAGAAGCCCAGGAGGCCGAGGAAUUUUUCCAGAGUGGUUAGGGAUUGGUCGAGCUCGGUUUCGGGGUGGAGCAAGAGGGAGGCCUCGGGCGACGCCAUGAAAGUACAAGCGGGUGUCUGCCAAGGUACAAGGUGGCG
This 394-nucleotide long non-coding RNA is filed under the name Salvia miltiorrhiza (redroot sage). RNAcentral's name for it is "long non-coding RNA (SMIL_LNC001450)". The record is from RNAcentral. Lineage: Eukaryota; Viridiplantae; Streptophyta; Magnoliopsida; Lamiales; Lamiaceae.